AAGUCGUAACAAGGUUUCCGUAGGUGAACCUGCGGAAGGAUCAUUACAGUAACAUGCUGUAGACUGGUGUCUUGGAUUAAAACCAUGGGGACGGAAGAGGAGGCCUUUUGCCUCUGCAGAUUUGCUGCUCCCUCGUGUGGCCUAUGCGUAUCCCGUUAAUCGCCGUACGUAUAGGACUCCAACACCGCCAAACCUUGCAAACAAACUUAAACGUUACCUCGGCGGGUUUGCCCGCUGGUGGAUAAUAUUAAACUCUUUUAAAUAUUAGCUGUAAUUAGUGGAACAGUCUGAAAAUAUGUUAAUAUUUUAAAACUUUCAACAACGGAUCUCUUGGUUCUG
RNAcentral lists this unclassified non-coding RNA (339 nucleotides) under air metagenome. RNAcentral's name for it is "partial contains small subunit ribosomal RNA, internal transcribed spacer 1, and 5.8S ribosomal RNA". The stretch from base 1 to 46 matches the Rfam family "Eukaryotic small subunit ribosomal RNA", at positions 1786 to 1831 of the family's 1831-position model. The record is from RNAcentral.